Molecule: ribosomal RNA, 428 nt
Filed under: uncultured bacterium
Lineage: Bacteria
Description: bacterial SSU rRNA
Rfam family: Bacterial small subunit ribosomal RNA
Source: RNAcentral
UGGGGAAUCUUGGACAAUGGGGGCAACCCUGAUCCAGCGAUGCCGCGUGGGUGAAGAAGGCCUUCGGGUUGUAAAGCCCUUUAGGCCGGGAAGAAGGUAAUUAGCUGAAUAAGUUAGUUGCUUGACUGUACCGGCAGAAUAAGCACCGGCUAACUCUGUGCCAGCAGCCGCGGUAAUACAGAGGGUGCGAGCGUUAAUCGGAAUUACUGGGCGUAAAGGGCGCGUAGGUGGUGGCGUGUGAGUGAUGUGAAAGCCCCGGGCUUAACCUGGGAAGUGCAUCGCUAACUGCGUUACUGGAGUAUAUCAGAGGGUGGCGGAAUUUCCGGUGUAGCGGUGAAAUGCGUAGAGAUCGGAAGGAACGUCGGUGGCGAAGGCGGCCACCUGGGAUAAUACUGACACUGAGGCGCGAAAGCGUGGGGAGCGAACAG